UUAUUUAUUGUGGCCUACUGGUUAGAGCGUCCGCCUCGGAUGUGGGAGGUAGUGGGUUCUAUUCCCGGCUGAGUAAU
Non-coding RNA from Potamilus streckersoni, 77 nucleotides. The record is from the annotation of a GenBank genome assembly. NCBI's taxonomy places the organism in Eukaryota, Metazoa, Mollusca, Bivalvia, Unionida, Unionidae.